This 586-nucleotide ribosomal RNA is filed under the name Duttaphrynus melanostictus (Asian common toad). RNAcentral's name for it is "partial 16S ribosomal RNA". It matches the Rfam family "Bacterial large subunit ribosomal RNA", at positions 1882 to 2622 of the family's 2925-position model. The record is from RNAcentral. Lineage: Eukaryota; Metazoa; Chordata; Amphibia; Anura; Bufonidae.
CGGACCUGUAAACAUAGCAGUCUAGCCUGCCAGUGACUCUGUUCAACGGCCGCGGUAUCCUAACCGUGCGAAGGUAGCGUAAUCACUUGUUCUUUAAAUGUGGACUAGUAUGAAUGGCAUCACGAAGGUUAUACUGUCUCCUUUUUCUAAUCAGUGAAACUAAUCUCCCCGUGAAGAAGCGAGGAUAAGAAUAUAAGACGAGAAGACCCUAUGGAGCUUUAAACAAAAUAGCACUCGCCACAUUAAUAAAGAAUUUCAGAAUCAUUAUUUAUCUUAAGCGACUUGACUAUAUGUUUUUGGUUGGGGUGACCGCGGAGCAUAACACAACCUCCAUGUUGAAAGAAAGUUUUCUAAACUAAGAACCACACCUCUAAGUAUCAAAAAAUUGACAUCUAUUGACCCAAUAAACUUGAACAACGAACCAAGUUACCCUAGGGAUAACAGCGCAAUCCACUUCAAGAGCUCCUAUCGACAAGUGGGUUUACGACCUCGAUGUUGGAUCAGGGUCUCCCAGUGGUGCAGCCGCUACUAAAGGUUCGUUUGUUCAACGAUUAAAACCCUACGUGAUCUGGUUUCAAAACCAGGA